Molecule: ribosomal RNA, 456 nt
Filed under: uncultured organism
Description: bacterial SSU rRNA
Rfam family: Bacterial small subunit ribosomal RNA
Source: RNAcentral
GUGCAGCAGUCGCGAAUUUUUCUCCAUGGGGGCAACCCUGAAGGAGCGACGCCGCGUGGAGGAUGAAGGCUUUCGGGUUGUAAACUCCUGUCAUUUGGGAACAAGUUGCGAGUAUUAACUGUGCUCGUAUUGAUAGUACCAGAAGAGGAAGGGACGGCUAACUCUGUGCCAGCAGCCGCGGUAAUACAGAGGUCCCAAGCGUUGUUCGGAUUCAUUGGGCGUAAAGGGUGCGUAGGUGGCGCUGUAAGUCGGGUGUGAAAUUUCGGAGCUUAACUCCGAAACUGCAUUCGAUACUGCGGUGCUUGAGGACUGGAGAGGAGACUGGAAUUCAUGGUGUAGCAGUGAAAUGCGUAGAGAUCAUGAGGAAGACCAGUGGCGAAGGCGGGUCUCUGGACAGUUCCUGACACUGAGGCACGAAGGCCAGGGGAGCGAAACGGGAUUAGAUACCCGUGUAGU